AUGAACAGAGGUGUACUUGAUAAGUCCACGUAUUUCUUCCAAUUUCACCAUGAUUUCAGUUUUUUCCAUGGUUUUUGGAGUGUCUCACUUAUUCAAUGGCAGUUUGGUGACGCUGUUUUCCAUCAAAACUUUUGGUGGAUUAUGCAAGGAAUAUGUGAGCAAAUAUUUUUUUCUUUACAUUUACAUAACAGCAAAAUGUCAGGUUUGGUGACGUCACCAAACCUGAUAUGUCCAAACCAAACUGACAUGUCAGGCUUAGUAAAGGAAAAUAAUCGUAAAGAUAUUGCGAUGCACGUUAUUAAAUCCUAUAGUAUGGAGCUCUAAGAUAACAGAAAAGUAGUCUUUAGAUUGAUAUUGCCAAAUCACUUAUUAACUUUUUUUCAGGACCAUUUUCUCUCAUUAGCUGAAAUCCACCCUUAUGCAGCGUAUGUAACUAUCUUAAAUUACUAUAACUAAAUGAUGAUUUAAUAAUAAUAAAAAGAAAUGACCAGCAUAAUUGUCUAUCGUCAUAUUUUCUCUAUCGUUAAAAAAUGAACUUUUAAUUUAAAUGACAUUCAUGCUUAGUUCAGCAUUGAUGCCAGUUAUUUUCCGUGUUUCUUCAACUGUCAGUGCUUAGUAGCCAGUGAAUGUUUUAGGGUCUAUCUCAUCUCUCAAAGACUGUGUGGAUGCAAGCAACUUCUGUUUUCAUUCUAGUAUUGAUUCUCGAGUGUUAAGUGUUUUUCCUUUUAUUUAUAUUUACUUGCAUAUUAGUCUUAGAGUAACUUAUAGGGUAACCUAGUACCUACCAUUUCAGACUGAAUCUUCUUAUCUGUAAGUACUUUAAAUCUGUCUGUUCCUUCAUUAUACUCAUAAUACAUUGUAUUUAUUAUAUAGAAUAAAUAUUUAAAUUUCUCACAGGUGGAAGACUCAUUUUUCUUUUGUCAACAACGGAAAAGUAGUCCGUAUGAUAAGGAGUUUCCCACUGUGAGUGUGAAUAAGGAGAAAAAAGUGGACAUUGGAUUUCUUGAUAGGACUCAUUAAUAUUUGUAAAAAAUGGUGCCAAUGAUAUCCU
Molecule: long non-coding RNA, 1051 nt
Filed under: Bemisia tabaci
Lineage: Eukaryota; Metazoa; Arthropoda; Insecta; Hemiptera; Aleyrodidae
Description: lncRNA ENSSSA1UGG001133
Source: RNAcentral